RNAcentral lists this ribosomal RNA (258 nucleotides) under uncultured bacterium. Its description in RNAcentral is "partial 16S ribosomal RNA". It matches the Rfam family "Bacterial small subunit ribosomal RNA", at positions 524 to 776 of the family's 1533-position model. The record is from RNAcentral.
UACGAAGGGCCCGGGUGUUACUCGUUUUGAUUGGGUGUAAAGGGUAAGUAGGCGGCUCACCGUUAAUCCUGGGCCAAAGCGCGGAGAGUUCCUACGCGAAAGUCCGGGAUGCUGGGUGUUUGGCUAGUGUUGAUUUGAGGUUGAGGCAAAUUCGUAGGUAGGAAUCAAAUGUGACGAUGUACGAAUGAACGCCGGCUGGCAAAGGCGCUUUUCCGCUUUCAACAGACGCUGAGGUACGGAGCGCAGGGAGCAAACGGG